This 1074-nucleotide long non-coding RNA is filed under the name Canis lupus familiaris (dog). Its description in RNAcentral is "lncRNA (ENSCAFG00040008062.1)". The record is from RNAcentral. Lineage: Eukaryota; Metazoa; Chordata; Mammalia; Carnivora; Canidae.
AUGAUUAGUCAAACAUCACCUCCCCGCCCCAGCGCGCCGGAGGCUGGAAGGGAGGAGUCUCGGAGCGACUGUUUCCCUUUUAUUAUUUUUUUUUUUGGGGGGGGUGGUGGAAGGCGAAACGCGUUCGCCUCUGUGCUUUUAUCCAUCGGCCUUGCAUGUCGUUUCCACUUCUGUCCUGCCGGGUCGGGACGCACAGACACCCAAGCACAGGCCACUGAUGUCGCGGGCGCCUCGCCCCUCGGUCCGCUCAGCCGGCCAGGGCGCUGUCGCGGCCCCGCCAGAGGGGGACGCGAAGCGGGGAGGGAAAAGUUGCUGGGCCCCUCCUGCGCCCCAGCCGUCGCUCCUUCCCAAAGCUGGGGCGCCUGGGAGACAGCAGGGUGCAGAGGCGCCCCUGCGCCCCAUUCUCUGUCUCCAAGGUCGGGGCAGCGCAGCGGCCGCAGGGGUCCUGUGCAUCCCCGCUUAGGGGAGGGAGGGAUCCCCCGGGGAAGGGAGGAGGCGCGGAGCGCGCCCCGCGGAGCAGACGCGCCCGCCCGGCCCGGAUCCGCGCCUCGGCGCUGGCGGCCGCCCCCGAGGGGCUGCGCGGAGGGCGGUGCGCGCGGCUCCCUGCGCCCGGGCGCCCCCAGCGGGAUCCGGGCCGCGGCCGGUGCGCCCCUGUGCCGGGCGCGGGAGCGAGCGCGCGCGCCGGCCGGCGGGCGGGCGGGGAGCCGGCGGGCCCGGCGGGGGUGGGGGUGCAGGGGGAGGACGCGGCGGCGGCGGCGGCGGAGCGGCAGCGCCCCGGGCAGUAGCUGCAGCCCGGGCGGCGGUGCGCGGUCGGCGGCGCAGCGCGCCUCCUCGGCCUAUCUCGGGCGGCUCCGACAUCCCCCUCCUCGGCCCCAGCUGGCGCAGGGCGGCGGACGGCUGAACCGCUGCGAGCAACUCCCCCACCUCCCCCCCCCCCAAAAAAAAAGCCGCAUUGGAGGAGCCUGGCCGCAGGACCCCUCCUCCCUGGCGCCCCUCGCCCUUCGCCCCCCCCCCCCCCCGCUCCCGGGCGCCCGCCUCCCUCCUGCGCGGACUGUCUCCCGACUCGCCGGCUGA